This 253-nucleotide ribosomal RNA is filed under the name uncultured bacterium. RNAcentral's name for it is "partial 16S ribosomal RNA". It matches the Rfam family "Bacterial small subunit ribosomal RNA", at positions 524 to 776 of the family's 1533-position model. The record is from RNAcentral.
UACGUAGGGUGCGAGCGUUGUCCGGAAUUACUGGGCGUAAAGAGCUCGUAGGUGGUUUGUCGCGUUGUUCGUGAAAACUCACAACUCAAUUGUGGGCGUGCGGGCGAUACGGGCAGACUGGAGUACUGCAGGGGAGACUGGAAUUCCUGGUGUAGCGGUGGAAUGCGCAGAUAUCAGGAGGAACACCGGUGGCGAAGGCGGCAUCCUGGACCGGUAUUGACACUGAGGCGCGAAAGCCAGGGGAGCAAACGGG